GAGUGGCAAACGGGUGAGUAUAAUGUGGGAAUCUGCCUUUUGGAUCGGAAUAACACGGGGAAACCUGUGCUAAUACCGGAUAAGUCUUUACGGAGAAAGCUUUAUGCACCAUUGGAUGAGCCCGCACUUGAUUAGCUAGUUGGUAAGGUAAUGGCUUACCAAGGCAACGAUCAAUAGCUGUUCUUAGAGGAAGACCAGCCACAUUGGGACUGAGACACGGCCCAAACUCC
This 230-nucleotide ribosomal RNA is filed under the name uncultured bacterium. RNAcentral's name for it is "partial 16S ribosomal RNA". It matches the Rfam family "Bacterial small subunit ribosomal RNA", at positions 93 to 339 of the family's 1533-position model. The record is from RNAcentral.